UAGAGGUUGUCCAUGAGGGCUCCACCCCUAC
This 31-nucleotide non-coding RNA is filed under the name Homo sapiens (human). Lineage: Eukaryota; Metazoa; Chordata; Mammalia; Primates; Hominidae. The record is from RNAcentral.